UACGAAGGGGGCUAGCGUUGUUCGGAUUUACUGGGCGUAAAGGGCGCGUAGGCGGUUUUGUAAGUCAGGCGUGAAAGCCCCGGGCUCAACCUGGGAAUUGCGCUUGAUACUGCGAGACUUGAAUCCAGGAGAGGAUGGCGGAAUUCCCAGUGUAGAGGUGAAAUUCGUAGAUAAUGGGAAGAACACCGGUGGCGAAGGCGGCCAUCUGGCCUGGUAUUGACGCUGAGGCGCGAAAGCGUGGGGAGCAAACAGG
This 253-nucleotide ribosomal RNA is filed under the name uncultured bacterium. RNAcentral describes it as "partial 16S ribosomal RNA". It matches the Rfam family "Bacterial small subunit ribosomal RNA", at positions 524 to 776 of the family's 1533-position model. The record is from RNAcentral.